Gasterosteus aculeatus aculeatus (three-spined stickleback) is the source of this 1855-nucleotide long non-coding RNA. The record is from Ensembl. Lineage: Eukaryota; Metazoa; Chordata; Actinopteri; Perciformes; Gasterosteidae.
CAGAACGCGGAGAACAGCGAGGCUGCAGAAGGAGACGACGAUGAACUUGAAGGCCAUGAAGCUUAGAGCGAAGAUGUUGAUUAAAUUGUACAUUGAAUUGUUUUCACCAACGUACAGGCUUCCUAUGUUUGCAAAGCACAGCAGCCAAACACAUCCGAUGGAGACGUUUCUGACUCUGAUCCACUUCUGGUUCUUCAGGCCCAGGUAGGUGACGGGGUGAACGACGGCCAGGUAGCGCUCCACACAGGUCAGAGUGUGAAACAGCUGCUGGCCCAAAAAGUUCACUGAUAAAAAGCAUACACCCACCGUGACCAUUCCUGUGAGACGGGUGAGGACGCCGCAACAGCAUAAAAGGUACCCUACGAUAUUCAUCAGCUCGAUGGCGACCAUGUGGAAGGUGAAGACGUCGGAGUGGCUCGCCGCCGUGCCGGAGCGCCGUUGUUUGAGUCCCAGGUAGACGACGUAGACGCAGGGAGGGAGGACCAGCAGGAGGCUGGAGACGGUGUAAGCGGUCAGGCUGGAGACGCAGGAGGUGCUGUUGCAGUUUUGCAGAAGGUCGUAUAUAUUGUCGGAGGAAGAGUCCAGAGUGGGAAAAGAGGAGGAAGAGGAGUUGACUGACAUGACUGGGGGGAAGAGGCACGAGUAGAGUGAAUGAGAGACACACACACACACACACUCAGUAAGUCAUUUACAUUAGUCACAGUAAUGAGUGACAUUUCCAACUCUUGAUGUUAUCACAGAUUGCAUCUUGUUUGACGUCUGAUCCCGUAUCCCUGGUGUCCCUGGUGUCCCUGGUCAUCCUGGUGUCCCGGGGGUGCCCCUGGUGUCUCUGGUCUCCCUGGUGUCCCUGGUGUCCCUGGUCUCCCUGGUCCGUGUCUGUGUCGCCGGUGUUACUCUACUCUAUUGGUUCUUUUGAGUGACAGCUCUCCUGAUUUUAAGCCGUCCUGGAUUUGAAAGGGAACAGAACCAUCUUUGUGUCUCUUUGUCGUCCUUUUGGGUUGCGGUUUGCAUCUGAAGGUGUGAUGAAUGUGACUAAACGGGUUCAAUUUUCUUGCACUCAUGUUGAUGAUGACACCGUUAAAAUAUAACGCUUUAUCAGCUCUUAAAUGCUUAAAUCACUCUAACUAAUGUUACCUGUGCUUGAUCAUAUCAUAUACAAUAAGGUUCUCUUUGCUAAUAGCAUAUUGAGAAAUGAUUGUGUAGAAUACGACCUUCGCAGACCUUUUGAAAGAAGAAAAACUCGGACAUUUGACUGAUAUCUAAAGGCCCCAGUUUGAAUCUGAAAAUAAAAGCAAAAUGACCAAAAACAUCUUCAUUGUCUGUGUCCACGGUAAAGCUUUUUAAGAUUUAGUACGUUUAUCCAUGAAAUGAAGCUGUAAAGACUAAAGAUUAGAUUAGAUUAGAUUCAACUUUAUUGUCAUUGCACAGGGUACAAGUACUGAGGCAACGAAAUGCAGUGCAACAACGAAAAACACAGCAACAGGAACAGCAACUAAACAGCAACUAAAAACGCUCACAUUUGACCGUGGAACAUAUUGUCUGCAACUCAUUUCUUUAACAUUCCAACGACUAAAAUAUGAACAAUCGAGUCUUCAGAACUUUCACAACAGAAAUGAAGCCACAUACUUACAAACAUAAAACUACUCCCGAGCACAUUGAACAAAGUUCAACAAACGAACACUUAUUAGAAGUAUUAUUACUUUCUCAAAAGUCACUUUAUGUACAUAAGAAUAUUGAAUUAAAAUAAACUCACUUUGACGUCGUUUUAGAUUCCAAACUGUUUGGUGUUCUGACCGUCGUCGUGUGUCUGAAUGAUGAGCUGGUGUGUUGUCAAUAAAUACUCAGUUAAACACUA